Molecule: ribosomal RNA, 530 nt
Filed under: Schizorhynchidae sp. 214386048
Lineage: Eukaryota; Metazoa; Platyhelminthes; Rhabdocoela; Schizorhynchidae
Also listed under: 2 other names
Description: SSU rRNA
Rfam family: Eukaryotic small subunit ribosomal RNA
Source: RNAcentral
ACGGUGAAACCGCGAAUGGCUCAUUAAAUCAGCUAUGGUUCCUUAGAUCUUACAUCCUUACUUGGAUAACUGUAGUAAUUCUAGAGCUAAUACAUGCCAAUGAGCCCUUACUUGUUUAAAGUCGGGCGGAUUUAUUAGAUCAAAACCAAUCGGAUUUUCCGUUUGUUUGAUGACUCUGGAUAACUUUUCUGAUCGCACGGCCUUUGUGCCAGCGACGUAUCUUUCAAGUGUCUGCCCUAUCAACUGUCGAUGGUAGGUGAUAUGCCUACCAUGGUUAUAACGGGUAACGGGGAAUCAGGGUUCGAUUCCGGAGAGGGAGCCUUAGAAAUGGCUACCACAUCUAAGGAAGGCAGCAGGCGCGCAAAUUACCCACUCUCAGUUCGAGGAGGUAGUGACGAAAAAUAACAAUACGGGACUCUUAUGAGGCCACGUAAUUGGAAUGAGUACAAUCUAAAUCGUUUAACGAGUACCAAUUGGAGGGCAAGUCUGGUGCCAGCAGCCGCGGUAACUCCAGCUCCAAUAGCGUAUAU